UUAUGCAUCAUUAACAAGGACCGCACUACAGCUCAGUCACACAGAAGCUGCUCCCAGGAUUUCAGUAUCUUGAACUACAUAUACGAAAGUGGGUGUUGAGAAAUCAUUGACAGACACAAUGGAUGGACUGUGUGGCCAAAUACACUCCAGGCUCUUCUGUGCAAAACAGUUAACUGCUACAGUCUCAGGUGACUGGACUUUAUGAGCUAAGGCAUCAGUGGAGAACUGAAUGUUCAAGAGAACAACUGGAAAGGCAAAGUUCAGAGCCUCAACUGCACAUCUGCUCCACCUUCAGAUGUGAGCUGACUAACAUGGCUAAGGGCAGACAUACAAAAAUAUUUGCUUCAUGGCUGGAGAAGAUGAAAUCCAGGCCCCACAGAAGGCUGCUGAAGUUACCAUGGAUUUCUGUCGGCUGAUCCCAAAUCCAGUGAAAUCAAGGGGAGACCAUGCAUGAAGAUCAGACAUGCCAGCUGCUCCACGCAGGCACUGCUUUGCUGAAACCGAAGGAGCCACAUCACUUCACACCAGAAGUAAUGCUGCGCAGAGAUUCUCAGAAGCAUGGAGCUACCCAAAUGCUGACUCGCCUGCUGAACCUUCAGGCAUCUUCCUGCCUACAAAAGUCUUUCCAUCAUUUCACCUCAUCUUUCUGACUUGCUUGUAUUUACCUGACUCAGCUACUCCAGACAGGGCUGUAAAUACCCUCAUCAGCUGGAGCAAGAAGUAGAUCAGGCAGACAACGUUGUUCUUUACCAAAUAUUGCAGUAUGUGCUAUAGGACAGACAAGAUCAGGAUCAUGGGCUUUAUUUUUAAUGAAAAUGGCUUUUGACUGCACAGUUAGGUGCAGCCCUUUGUAACUGAAGCGUGGGCAUCAGACAGCACAAAUGCAUGCUUUUACUUAGGCAAAACCAUGCAGAUGCACCUGGCAUUACCUUUUGAACUCUCCCAAAUACAUAGCAUGAACUAACUGUGCAUUACACCGGUCUAUGUAUACACUUAAUGGGAAAUGUUCUGCUACAUGCUUAAAAUCAGCCGGGUGGAGAAAUUGAGUGCAGCUAGAUGAACCAGUUUGCACAAACAAAACACACUGGAGAUUUUGGCUAUCCUCUUGCUCUGGAAGGUAGCAUUGUGUGGCAGUGAGCAGAAGACCCAACGAUACAGUGCCAAGCGUAUCUCAGAGAUAACAGCCAGAACCCUGGGAGGACAGGAUGUGCGAGGCACUUAAAAUCUUAUAAGGUUGCUGUUAAAACUAAAAAAAAUAGCAAAAUUGCUGUUAAAGUC
Strigops habroptila (Kakapo) is the source of this 1278-nucleotide long non-coding RNA. RefSeq lists it as uncharacterized. The record is from RefSeq and is a predicted model, not a curated record. The transcript is spliced from 6 exons. NCBI's taxonomy places the organism in Eukaryota, Metazoa, Chordata, Aves, Psittaciformes, Psittacidae.